GGCGGCGUGCUUAACACAUGCAAGUCGAACGGAGCGAAUGAAAGCUUGCUUUUAUGAGCUUAGUGGCAAACGGGUGAGUAACACGUAGACAACCUGCCGACAGGAUGGGGACAACAUUCCGAAAGGAAUGCUAAUACCGAAUGAAGCGGAGGAGAGGCAUCUCCCCUCCGUGAAAGAUGGCCUCUGAAUAUGCUAUCACCUGUCGAUGGGUCUGCGUCUGAUUAGCUGGUUGGUGAGGUAACGGCUCACCAAGGCGACGAUCAGUAGCCGGUCUGAGAGGAUGAACGGCCACAUUGGGACUGAGACACGGCCCAGACUCCUACGGGAGGCAGCAGUGGGGAAUCUUCCGCAAUGGGCGCAAGCCUGACGGAGCAACGCCGCGUGAGUGAAGAAGGUCUUCGGAUCGUAAAGCUCUGUUGACGGGGACGAACGUGCGAGAGGUGAAUAAUCUCUGCAA
This 457-nucleotide ribosomal RNA is filed under the name Centipeda dianae. RNAcentral describes it as "bacterial SSU rRNA". It matches the Rfam family "Bacterial small subunit ribosomal RNA", at positions 38 to 472 of the family's 1533-position model. Lineage: Bacteria; Bacillati; Bacillota; Negativicutes; Selenomonadales; Selenomonadaceae. The record is from RNAcentral.